CGCUUGGCAUUGCACAUGGUGAUCUUAGGCUUGUGUGUGGCUGCUCAGCCAUGGAAACCCAUUUCAUGAAGCUCCCAACGAAAAGUUUUUGUGCUGACGUUGCUUCCAGGGGCAGUUUGGAACUCGGUAGCGUUAAGAUUUCCCUUCACUGGAACUAAGGGGCCUAGCCCGAACCAUGAAAAACAGCCACAGACCAUUAUUCCUCCUCCCCCAAACUUUACAGUUGGCACUAUGCAUUGGGGCAGGUGGCGUUCUCCUGGCAUCCACCAAACCGGGCAUCCGCCAGUCCCCGUCAAACACUUUUUUUUGGUUACUACAUGAUUCCAUUUGUGUUAUUUCAUAGUUUUGAUGUCGUCACUAUUAUUUUACAAUGUAGAAAAUAAUACAAAUAUAGAAAAACCCUUUAAUGAGUAGGUGUGUCCUAACUUUUGACUGGUACUGUCCUCGUUCAGCCAUGACUCUGAGAAACAGGAUAUUACAGUUUCAGGUCCCGUUGAUAUGAUCGUCUCAAAUGAACCUCAUCCAGUUUCUUCUUGCCCACGUAAUCUCGUCAGGGAGCCAGCUCGCUUGCCAGAGCUGCCAACUCGUUGAAGUAGACAUUUUAGUCCAAAUCGAGGUUAGUGAUCGUUGUUCUGAUGUUCGGGUCGUAGGAGAAUUGGUCAGCAGCCGGUAAGAUAUAUAUGAGAGAGAGAGAGAUCAUCAUACUGAAACAGGAAAGGGGGAGAGAGAUGGGAGGGAGGUAGGGACAGAGAGAGAGAGAUGGGAGGGAAGUAGGGAGAGAGAGAUAUGGGAGGGAGGUAGGGAGAGAGAGAUAUGGGAGGGAAGUAGGGGGAGGGAAGUAGGGAGCGAGAGAGAUGGGAGGGAAGUAGGGAGAGGGAGGGAAGUAGGGAGGAGGCAUUAUCAUGCUGAAACAGGAAAGGGGGAGAGAGAGAGAUGGGAGGGAAGGAGAGCGAGAGAUGGGAGGGAGGUAGGGAGAGAGAGAUGGGAGGGAAGUAGGGAGAGAGAGAGAGAGAUGGGAGGGAAGGAAGGAGAGCGAGAGAGAGAGAGAGAUGGGAGGGAAGGAGAGCGAGAGAGAGAGAGAGAUGGGAGGGAAGGAGAGCGAGAGAGAGAGAGAGAGAUGGGAGGGAAGGAGAGCGAGAGAGAGAGAUGGGAGGGAGGGAAGUAGGGAGGGAAAGAGGGAGAUGGUAGGGAGAGGUGGAGAGAUGGGAGGGAAGUAGGGAGAGAGAGAGAGAUGGGAGGGAAGUAGGGAGAGGUGGAGAGAUGGGAGAGGGAGAGAUGGGAGGGAAAGAGAGAUGGGAGGGAAGGAGAGAGAGAGAGAGAGAUGGGAGGGAAGUAGGGAGAGGUGGAGAGAUGGGAGAGGGAGAGAUGGGAGGGAAAGAGAGAUGGGAGGGAAGGAGAGAGAGGUGGAGGGACCUGGAUCUGGGUAUGGGCCGGCAGCUUCUCCGGCUGGUGCCAAAAAUGACAUUCUUUGGCAGGGCACAGGGCUGCUGUAAAGCACUACUCAGGAACACAAUGUUCGGGACGCUGGAUGCAGCAAAGAAGCACUCUUAGAUUAAAC
RNAcentral lists this long non-coding RNA (1558 nucleotides) under Salmo salar (Atlantic salmon). RNAcentral's name for it is "lncRNA (ENSSSAG00000099336.1)". The record is from RNAcentral. Lineage: Eukaryota; Metazoa; Chordata; Actinopteri; Salmoniformes; Salmonidae.